GUAGCAUUAGCUCAGUUGGUUAGAGCACCUGACUGUUAAUCAGGGUGUCAUAGGUUCAAGUCCUGUAUGCUACG
RNAcentral lists this transfer RNA (74 nucleotides) under Ligilactobacillus murinus. RNAcentral's name for it is "tRNA-Asn". It matches the Rfam family "tRNA". Rfam says of the family: Transfer RNA (tRNA) molecules are approximately 80 nucleotides in length. Their secondary structure includes four short double-helical elements and three loops (D, anti-codon, and T loops). The record is from RNAcentral. Lineage: Bacteria; Bacillati; Bacillota; Bacilli; Lactobacillales; Lactobacillaceae.